RNAcentral lists this transfer RNA (69 nucleotides) under Holothuria spinifera. RNAcentral describes it as "tRNA-Glu". It matches the Rfam family "tRNA". Rfam says of the family: Transfer RNA (tRNA) molecules are approximately 80 nucleotides in length. RNAcentral also lists the same sequence under 1 other name. Lineage: Eukaryota; Metazoa; Echinodermata; Holothuroidea; Aspidochirotida; Holothuriidae. The record is from RNAcentral.
GCCCCUUUAGUCUAAUCAAGACGAGGGCUUUUCAAGCCCUAGAACUAAGUGAAACUCCUAGAAGGAGCA